Molecule: ribosomal RNA, 487 nt
Filed under: uncultured bacterium
Lineage: Bacteria
Description: partial 16S ribosomal RNA
Rfam family: Bacterial small subunit ribosomal RNA
Source: RNAcentral
GACGAACGCUGGCGGCGUGCUUAACACAUGCAAGUCGAACGGAAAGGCCCCCAUCUUGGUGGGGGUGCUCGAGUGGCGAACGGGUGAGUAACACGUGGGUGAUCUUCCCUGUACUUCGGGAUAAGCUUGGGAAACUGGGUCUAAUACCGGAUAGGACCAUGGUUUAGUGUCUCAUGGUGGAAAGAUGAUUGUUUUGGUGCAGGAUGAGCUCGCGGCCUAUCAGCUUGUUGGUGGGGUAAUGGCCUACCAAGGCGUCGACGGGUAGCCGGCCUGAGAGGGGGGACGGCCACAUUGGGACUGAGAUACGGCCCAGACUCCUACGGGAGGCAGCAGUGGGGAAUAUUGGACAAUGGGCGCAAGCCUGAUGCAGCGACGCCGCGUGGGGGAUGACGGCCUUCGGGUUGUAAACUCCUUUCGUUAGGGACGAAGCCACGAUUGUUGGGUGUGGUGACGGUACCUUUGUUAAGAAGCACCGGCUAACUACGUG